AUUGAACGCUGGCGGAAUGCUUUACACAUGCAAGUCGAACGGCAGCACGGGGCAACCUGGUGGCGAGUGGCGAACGGGUGAGUAAUACAUCGGAACGUGCCCAAUCGUGGGGGAUAACGUAGCGAAAGUUACGCUAAUACCGCAUACGAUCUACGGAUGAAAGCGGGGGAUCGCAAGACCUCGCGCGAAUGGAGCGGCCGAUGUCAGAUUAGGUAGUUGGUGGGGUAAAGGCUCACCAAGCCAACGAUCUGUAGCUGGUCUGAGAGGACGACCAGCCACACUGGAACUGAGACACGGUCCAGACUCCUACGGGAGGCAGCAGUGGGGAAUUUUUGGACAAUGGGCGCAAGCCUGAUCCAGCCAUUCCGCGUGCAGGAUGAAGGCCUUCGGUUGU
This 394-nucleotide ribosomal RNA is filed under the name uncultured bacterium. Its description in RNAcentral is "bacterial SSU rRNA". It matches the Rfam family "Bacterial small subunit ribosomal RNA", at positions 30 to 426 of the family's 1533-position model. The record is from RNAcentral.